Gymnopilus junonius is the source of this 86-nucleotide non-coding RNA. NCBI's taxonomy places the organism in Eukaryota, Fungi, Basidiomycota, Agaricomycetes, Agaricales, Galerinaceae. The record is from the annotation of a GenBank genome assembly.
GGCCUUAUGGUCUAGUAGCAUGAUUCCUCCUUUGGGUUUAGGCACCUGAUUGGAGGAGGUCCUGGGUUCAAUUCCCAGUGAGGCCC